Molecule: non-coding RNA, 648 nt
Organism: Rattus norvegicus (Norway rat)
Lineage: Eukaryota; Metazoa; Chordata; Mammalia; Rodentia; Muridae
Source: RefSeq, a predicted model, not a curated record
GUUAGUUUUCCACGCCCACUAUGUAUGCCAGAGACCAAACUCAGGUUGCCAGGUUUGGAGGCCUGCUGAGUCAUUUUACUGCAUCCUAAAUUCUAUCUUUUAUCAAGAUCUUUGUGAUGCUUUAUAUGGUUGGCCCAGGGAGUGGCCCUAUUAGGAGGUGUGGCUUUGUUGGAGUGGGUGUGUCAAUGUGGGCGUGGGCUUAAGACCUUCACCCUAGCUGGCUGGAAGUAAGUCUUCUGCUAGCAGCCUUCAGAUGAAGAUGUAGAACUCUCAGCCUGUACCAUGCCUGCCUGGAUGCUGCCAUGUUCCUGCCUUGAUGCUAAUGGACUGAACCUCUGAACCUAAUGGCUCAUGCAAAGAAGGGUGACAAGAAGAAGAAGAAAGAGAAAGAGGAGGAGGAAGAGGAGAAAGAAGAGAAGAAGAAGAAGAAGGAAAAGGAGGAGGAGGAGGAGAAGAGUCAUUCUGCUGUCAGCAAGGUGGUGACCUGAAAAGGCAUCAUCAACAUUUACGUCUGCAUCGAUGGCAAGAUCUGCUUCUCUUCUCAAAGAAAUCUGGAAGUUAAUCCUAAAGGAGAUGGGGACUUUAGAUGUGGGCAUUGAUGUCAGGGUCAAUAAAGCCAUCUGGGCCAGAGGAGUAGAGAAUAUCCCA